This 251-nucleotide ribosomal RNA is filed under the name uncultured prokaryote. RNAcentral's name for it is "partial 16S ribosomal RNA". It matches the Rfam family "Bacterial small subunit ribosomal RNA", at positions 524 to 774 of the family's 1533-position model. The record is from RNAcentral.
UACGGAGGGAGCUAGCGUUGUUCGGAAUUACUGGGCGUAAAGCGCGCGUAGGCGGCUUUGUAAGUUAGAGGUGAAAGCACGGGGCUCAACCCCGGAAUUGCCUUUAAGACUGCAUCGCUUGAAUCCGGGAGAGGUGAGUGGAAUUCCGAGUGUAGAGGUGAAAUUCGUAGCUAUUCGGAAGAACACCAGUGGCGGAGGCGGCUCACUGGACCGGUAUUGACGCUGAGGUGCGAAAGCGUGGGGAGCAAACA